Molecule: ribosomal RNA, 253 nt
Filed under: uncultured Ktedonobacter sp.
Lineage: Bacteria; Bacillati; Chloroflexota; Ktedonobacteria; Ktedonobacterales; Ktedonobacteraceae
Description: partial 16S ribosomal RNA
Rfam family: Bacterial small subunit ribosomal RNA
Source: RNAcentral
UACGUAGGGGGCAAGCGUUGUCCGGAGUUACUGGGCGUAAAGCGCACGCAGGCGGUCCGCUUGGUUCGAGGUGACAGCUCCCGGCUCAACUGGGAGAGCGCCGCGACGACGGGCGGACUUGAGGACCAGAGAGGGACACGGAAUUCCGGGUGGAGUGGUGAAAUGCGUAGAGAUCCGGAGGAACACCAAAGGCGAAGGCAGUGUCCUGGCUGGGGCCUGACGCUCAUGUGCGAAAGCCAGGGGAGCGAACGGG